RNAcentral lists this long non-coding RNA (1400 nucleotides) under Felis catus (domestic cat). RNAcentral's name for it is "lncRNA (ENSFCAG00000052738.1)". The record is from RNAcentral. Lineage: Eukaryota; Metazoa; Chordata; Mammalia; Carnivora; Felidae.
AUGCAAGGGAUGCUGGGAAAUAUUUUCUCCCCUGAAAACUGGAGCACCUGGGCCAUCUGGUGUGCCACAGAUGCCCCUCGGGAAUCUUCCAGCAUGUGUGGUGCGCGUCUCCUGCUUCACGGAAGCCGUGCCCAAGCCCCUGGAAAAGCCCCGUCGUGCAGCCCAGGGCAGGGGUCCUGUCUGGGUGAUGGAGAAGGAUCCCAGGGAGACCCACAGCCCAGGGAGGAGGGGGAACACGUGCCCCUCCCCCCUGCCCAGCGGGCACAGGUGAGCCGGCCUGGGGAACAUGACCACAGGAGACGGUUGACCCUGCACCGCGUCCCUCAGGAUCCCCACCAGCCCCGCCCGGAGCCAGGAGCCCCGAGGCGAGUGCUACGUGUGGCUUCGGAAGCGAAAUCUCAUGUUUCUCAAGAACAAGGCUGUCAGAGCCCGCGUCUCCUCACUGCCCUCCUGGCUUCCCAAGACUCGCCCACCGGCAUCUGCACGCGGACGUCUGGCGGACAUGUCCGCCCAGCGUGUCCCCGUCACCUCCAAAGCCCCCGCGCCGUCCCGUUCACCACACGUCACCACAUUCCCCCCGCGGCUCAGACGGGAGCCCCAAGACGAGCCGUAGGCCCCGCGGUCCCUCCCCCGAUAUCCGGCCAACGGGAGGCCUCCUUGACUCCCAGACCUCUGAUGUCCAGAUGUGGCCCAAAGACACAGCCUCAGUGCAGAAACAGGAGCGUCUUGUUCCAAGUAGGAUUGACAUUGGUGAGCUCGAUGGGGCAUCCAUUGUGUCCUCCGCCCCAGAGUGAGGGCUGCCCAGGCGACAGGUCUCGGAUCCCCGAAACGGAUUCCCAGAGAUGUGUUCGGGGAGACACACAUCUCGAUCUGCAGUCUCAUUUGGAAUUACAGGUCCACACGGUCUCAGCACCCAAGUCAGUCAGGACGGGUCUGCAAGGUCGCAGGGGCUUAAAACAACAAAGGGGUAGGUGUCGCUCACACACAGGGACCCCACGGGUCGGCCCACUCAUGGUGCAGGCGGCUGGGAAGCCCCGUGGGCAGUGCUGGUCCUGGAGGCGGAAGCCCCGCACCUGCCCCAGAGAUCGAACGUCACACCCCCUUCGGCUCAGAGCUCAUUGGUCGGAAGCGGUCAUGUGGGGGGGACCCCGGAAGUGCCUUCCCGCGAGCAGCUGAGAGGUGGAGAGCCACAGCCACGUGGCGAACCACACUCAUGACAUCAAGCCAGGUGGCACCGGCGUUCAAGGCCUCCUCCAGCGACCAAGGUGUCCUCCCUAGAACACGCCCCGACACCACCUGUGCCCCCCUCCCAGGACUAAGCGCAGGGACUGAGUGCUGGCCCAGCGCUCGGUGUUCGUUAAAUUAAUAAAUCAGGCCAUGCAGGGGCUCCUGGGGGGCUC